Molecule: ribosomal RNA, 301 nt
Filed under: uncultured bacterium
Lineage: Bacteria
Description: partial 16S ribosomal RNA
Rfam family: Bacterial small subunit ribosomal RNA
Source: RNAcentral
CAGCCGCCACGGGAAUACAGAGGGUGCGAGCGUUAAUCGGAUUUACUGGGCGUAAAGCGUGCGUAGGCGGCUUCUUAAGUCGGAUGUGAAAUCCCUGAGCUUAACUUAGGAAUUGCAUUCGAUACUGGGAAGCUAGAGUAUGGGAGAGGAUGGUAGAAUUCCAGGUGUAGCGGUGAAAUGCGUAGAGAUCUUGAGGAAUACCGAUGGCGAAGGCAGCCAUCUGGCCUAAUACUGACGCUGAGGUACGAAAGCAUGGGGAGCAAACAGGAUUAGAUACCCCCGUAGUCCCUGUCUCUUAUAC